GACGAACGCUGGCGGCGUGCUUAACACAUGCAAGUCGAACGGAAAGGCCCUGCUUUUGUGGGGUGCUCGAGUGGCGAACGGGUGAGUAACACGUGAGUAACCUGCCCUUGACUUUGGGAUAACUUCAGGAAAAUGGGGCUAAUACCGGAUAGGAGCUCCUGCUGCAUGGUGGGGGUUGGAAAGUUUCGGCGGGUGGGGAUGGACUCGCGGCUUAUCAGCUUGUUGGUGGGGUAGUGGCUUACCAAGGCUUUGACGGGUAGCCGGCCUGAGAGGGUGACCGGCCACAUUGGGACUGAGAUACGGCCCAGACUCCUACGGGAGGCAGCAGUGGGGAAUAUUGCACAAUGGGCGGAAGCCUGAUGCAGCAACGCCGCGUGCGGGAUGACGGCCUUCGGGUUGUAAACCGCUUUCGCCUGUGACGAAGCGUGAGUGACGGUAAUGGGUAAAGAAGCACCGGCUAACUACGUG
RNAcentral lists this ribosomal RNA (468 nucleotides) under uncultured bacterium. Its description in RNAcentral is "partial 16S ribosomal RNA". It matches the Rfam family "Bacterial small subunit ribosomal RNA", at positions 28 to 507 of the family's 1533-position model. The record is from RNAcentral.